This is a ribosomal RNA of 527 nucleotides. The stretch from base 394 to 527 matches the Rfam family "Bacterial large subunit ribosomal RNA", at positions 2473 to 2606 of the family's 2925-position model.
AAAACAUGUNUUUUUGAAAAUAAUAAAAAGUCUAAUCUGCCCACUGAAUUUAUUUAAAGGGCUGCAGUAUAUUGACUGUACAAAGGUAGCAUAAUCAAUAGUCUUUUAAUUGAAGACUUGUAUGAAUGAUUUGAUGAAAUAUGAACUGUCUCUUUUUUAAAAAUAAAAUUUAAUUUUUUAGUUAAAAAGCUAAAAUAAUUAUAAAAGACGAGAAGACCCUAUAGAGUUUUAUAGUUAUUUAAUUUAAAAAUUUUAUAUAUAAUUUAAAUUUAAAAUUAAUUAAUUAUUUUAUUGGGGUGAUAGAAAAAUUAAAAAAACUUUUUUUAAAAAUUUAACAUUAAUUUAUGAAAUUAUGAUCCAUAAUUUAUGAUUAAAAGAAUCAAUUACCUUAGGGAUAACAGCGUAAUUUUUUUUUUUAGUACAAAUAAGAAAAAGAGUUUGCGACCUCGAUGUUGGAUUAAGAUAAAAUUUAAAUGCAAAAGUUUAAAAUUUUUGAUCUGUUCGAUCAUUAAAAUCUUACAUGAUCU